AACUUUUACACGGACGAGUACAUGUGAUGGGCUAUAAUAUUUAUCAUACGGUAACUAGAGAAAGGUUCCGAUUUAAGUAUUCCUUAGGUAAGUGAAGACUUAAGUAAGUUUAUGCAUACCAUUUAAGAAUUUGACUUAACUAAGGAAAUUCUUAGUGAAAUCUAAGUUUAAGGAAUACUUAAGUUAAGAUGUUUUAUGCAUACGGCCCCA
This 210-nucleotide long non-coding RNA is filed under the name Mytilus galloprovincialis (Mediterranean mussel). The record is from RNAcentral. Lineage: Eukaryota; Metazoa; Mollusca; Bivalvia; Mytilida; Mytilidae.